This is a long non-coding RNA of Heterocephalus glaber (naked mole-rat), 3824 nucleotides long. The record is from Ensembl. NCBI's taxonomy places the organism in Eukaryota, Metazoa, Chordata, Mammalia, Rodentia, Bathyergidae.
UUUCAUGACUACAAAUAAAGUUUUAUUGGAACACAGCUACACUCAUUCAUUUACAUCUUGUCUGUGGCUGGUUUUCUGCUACAAUUGCAGAGUUGAGUGAUUGGUCUCAAUAAAGUCCAUGUGAUCUGCAAAGCAUAUACAUGUAUUCCACAUCCCUUUUCAAUAAACAUUCACUGACUUCCAGUUUCCACCCCAGGCCCUGGAGUCAGGCUAUCUGGGUUUGGAUUUAGUUCUACUAAUAAAUAACUAUGCAGGGACUUUCUUAACUCUUCUAACCCACAAUUCCCUCAUUUGUAAGGUGGGGACAACAAGAGUUAUAUUCAUUUCGUUAAACUGCAGAGGGAGCAAAUAAGCUGAGUACAUACUUUUCUACAGACAUUAGUUAUUGUUCUUGCUUUACAGCUGGUGACUGUGAACAACAAAAUUGUCUGGCAUUAAAUAAAAAGUCUAGAACAAGUGUUUGUUUUCUUCACCACAAAGUGAUAGGAAGAAAAAUCUGCUGAACCUGAGGCCCAGCUGUACAAUAGAGUUCUAGUGUCCCUAUGACCAAGGAAUGACUGGAUGAAACUUCACUCUUUACACAAAUAAAGGUCAAGUUUAAGCAAAUAACUUCCUUUUUAACUUCAUACUCCAGAGGCCUCAGCAAACAAGUAGUGUCCUUUGACUGAUUGUGUUCUGAAGAAAGUUAAGGUUUUCAAUUUUUUUCAUGUUCUUGUGUGGUAAUUUUCCACAUAAACAGAUGAUUUUCUAUAGUUAUAAUUACAUCGUGGCAUAUGUAGUUUUAUUGUUUUCAUUUAAAUUUACAUCAAAAUUUUUCCAUAUUGUUUCUUCAUUUUCAUCAUCUCUUGUUUUACACAGUAUUAUGAAGACUGGUUUUUGUUUGCUUUUGCAGCACUGGGAAUUGAACCCAAGGCCUUCAUACUAAGCUACAACCCUAGCUCUUUUUAAUUUUUUAUUUUGAGACAGGGCCUUGCUAAGUCACUGAGCUUGUAGCCUGGCCUCAAACUUGUGAUCCUCCUGCCUCAGGUUCCCAAAUUGUUGGGCUUACAGACAUGCACCACCAUGCCCAGCAUAUGACAUUUUUUUUAAAUGUAGUAAUUUUUCAAGACAUAUAAAAAUAAAGAUUUUUUAAAAAUCAGGUAGCUUUGACUCUAUCUCACCUGAGUACAGAUGGAGUUUUCAACAAACUAAUGACUACUCAUUGCUCCUUUCUGCAUCCUCGCCCUCUUAGUGGUGUCAGCUAAUUCAGACAUUUGCUGUGAAGCACAUUCUAGAAACAAAACUGAGUGUUUGUGUGAAUGUGAUGACCAAGUAUGAACCUUCCCAUGACUGGGACAAGGAGAAGAACAGUAUUAGAACUAUGACACCAUCUCCUUCUCCAUCAGAAAAGCUAGAGCUGGGAGGACAGGUUUCUCUCCCCCAACCCCACCAGCUCCUGAGCCCCCAGUUCCAACUUCCUGUACCACCUGGUUCAGGGUACCACCUGUUCCUGGGGUACAGGGAAUCACCCUGCUCCAAAGCAUUUGCCUUAGAAACCCACCAAAUACUGCCUCGAACCAACUGCAAUCCAUUUAUCUUUAUCCUUCUCUUUUGUAUUCCAGCUGUCCACCCCUCAUUCAUAUGUAGGCUCAAAGAUCAAUCCUUCUCUCUCCUUAACACAAUCCAUAGGUUCUGGUGGAGAAGUUGAGUUAGCCAGAUUCAGCAAACUAAACCUGGUUGGUGAUCGCAGGGGAAAGGGCGGCUCUGGCCAGCUGUUUUCCAAUCUUGCCAUUCCAUUCUUAGGCACGGUCAGGGAUUCUCAGAGUAUUCAGGUCAAACAGCCUCCAAAUUCAUUUAUGCUCAUUCUUCUUGCCCAGGCUCCUUUGGGCAGGUCCUGGGAGCGCUCUCUCUGCAGAAUGUGCCUGUGCUUUGUGUGGCUUCGGAAUGUGGGGGUCUCUGGUUGUGGAAUAUGCAUAAUGCUUCUUCUGAGAAGAUAUCAGGGGAAAAGGAAAAGGAUAUUUUUGGGCUGUCAUUCCACCUACCCAUCUGGUGGACUCUAAUUUUAAGCCCCAUUUUAAUAAAAAGUCUCUGAAUAGCUGUGCUUUUAUGACUCAAAUGGACUUUCAAACUGGGAUUCUACCAUCUGAUAGAGCAAAGUGGGUGGACUCUAGUCUUCAGAGAGAAAAGAACAAACAGACUGAAAGCUGUAGUUAAAAUUUUCCACUUUCCUCCAACUCUCUUAAAGCAAUUAUUCUCAGACUUGCAAUCUCCAGUCCCUUGGAAAUCUCCAGACUUGAAAUCUUCCAAACCUCAAGUUUUACAAAGAGCCUACAAUGAAGGGUGGGGAAAGGCACUUGAGAUUGCUUUAGGAAAAACUAAGCAGGACUGGCCAAGAGUAUCAGAGCAGAAAGUCCAAUGGUCCCAGCAAAAGGCUGCAGCUACUAAAGGGGCCCAGGAGCAGUUGCUGAGAAAAGAGUGAAGGUGUGAAGGCGUGUGCACAUCUGUAAUCCAGCACACUGGGAGGCUGAGGCGGGAGGCUGGCACGUUUGAGCCCAGCAUGGGCAAUUUAGUGACAUAGCAAGACCCAGUCUCAAAAUAAAACCUAAAAUGGGCUGGGAAUAUAGGUCGGUGUGCAAGGCCCUGGGUUCAAUCUCCAGUCUUUGCGCUUGUGCAGCAGGCAGAGAAACCACUGAGCUAAAUCCCCGGCCCAAGAGUGGGUUUUUUUCGGGGUGUGAUGGUGGGGUUCCUUCUGGAUGUCAAGUCCGGAAUGAUGGAAGCAUUUCUUUAGUGACAUGUUGCACACGGACACCUACUGGUUGACAGAGAGGACAGUAACUCCUGGGACCUAAAUCCAAAAAGGAAAAGCAGGAUUAAAACAAAAAACAAACCCCAAAACUUCAGGCCUGGCUUCACAAGUCAACAAUGUUCAAUGCACUGAAUUCUCUAGAUUACACUUUACUAUCUUUCACUACAGGUUUAUCUUCCUUUCAUGUUUCAAAUAGGCUAGGAAACCUCCACAGAGCGCAGGGACAAUACAGCUUUUGCAGGAAGUGUGUUCCCAGACGGUGAACGUAGGAAGCCGGCCAUCUACUCCGCGAUUUGACUUUUCAGUGUGAGGUAGCAAAGCGCCCUCGGCUCCUACCCCAUCUCCAUUUUCCAAGCCUCCCUCUCAGCCAUAUCCAACGCGCGGUCCCCGCUUUUUGGAACCUCGUCAAUAAAAGAUCUAAGAACAGACAGGGAUGAGCCUGGGCCUCUUCAGCCGAGCCGCCUUCUGGCUAUUUAGGAAGGGACAAAGUCUUGGGGCAGACUUGGGCAAGGAUCCCGGUGUUUUAGGACGCAGGGCUUCCAAUUAGGACUUUGUAUCUCAUUUCCCCAGUGAGGGUCCUAGGGAAUGACCUGACCCUUCGGGAGCGCCGUCUCCCCAGCACUAGUUCUGUUCUGCAGGAGACCGAGGUUCUGUCUGGGCGGUAGAGCCUGCGGCCCCAGGAGAUCCCGAGCGCCCGGGCCCAGCUCUCCUCUCCCAGGGUCUGUGAAGGCUCUGGGGCGCCCGCGGUAGCGCGCCGCUCAUUCAUUCCAGAUAUUCACUGGGCGCCCGCUGAGUGCAAGGAGCUGCGGCGCCCAGCGGCGAGAAACAGCGCUCGCCUCGUUCCUGAUCCUUUCUCGCAGCCCGAGCACCCCGACCGCCGCCGCCCGGCUGUGCCCAGCGCCUGCCUGCAGCGCGGCCUCGGGGCGCCGCGGAGGGGAAGGGGCCCCGCGGGUUGCAGCUCGUUCCCAGUCCGCCCGCCGCCUGGAAGCGGCUCCCGGCGAGCGCGCACGGCCGCGGCGCGCGGAGUCGGCAGAGCGGG